AAGGAACCAACAGGGAUGCCUUAGUAGCGGCGAGUGAAGCGGCAAAAGCUCAAAUUUGAAAUCUGGCACUUUCAGUGUCCGAGUUGUAAUUUGAAGAAGGUAUCUUUGGGUCUGGCUCUUGUCUAUGUUUCUUGGAACAGAACGUCACAGAGGGUGAGAAUCCCGUGCGAUGAGAUGUCCCAGACCUAUGUAAAGUUCCUUCGAAGAGUCGAGUUGUUUGGGAAUGCAGCUCUAAGUGGGUGGUAAAUUCCAUCUAAAGCUAAAUAUUGGCGAGAGACCGAUAGCGAACAAGUACAGUGAUGGAAAGAUGAAAAGAACUUUGAAAAGAGAGUGAAAAAGUACGUGAAAUUGUUGAAAGGGAAGGGCUUGAGAUCAGACUUGGUAUUUUGUAUGUUACUCUCUCGGGGGUGGCCUCUACAGUUUACCGGGCCAGCAUCAGUUUGAGCGGUAGGAUAAGUGCAAAGAAAUGUGGCACUGCUUCGGUAGUGUGUUAUAGUCUUUGUCGAUACUGCCAGCUUAGACUGAGGACUGCGGCUUCGGCCUAGGAUGUUGGCAUAAUGAUCUUAAGUCGCCC
This 574-nucleotide ribosomal RNA is filed under the name Lodderomyces parapsilosis. RNAcentral's name for it is "Candida parapsilosis partial large subunit ribosomal RNA". It matches the Rfam family "Eukaryotic large subunit ribosomal RNA", at positions 59 to 650 of the family's 3401-position model. The record is from RNAcentral. Lineage: Eukaryota; Fungi; Ascomycota; Pichiomycetes; Serinales; Debaryomycetaceae.